This 460-nucleotide ribosomal RNA is filed under the name uncultured bacterium. RNAcentral's name for it is "partial 16S ribosomal RNA". It matches the Rfam family "Bacterial small subunit ribosomal RNA", at positions 338 to 795 of the family's 1533-position model. The record is from RNAcentral.
CCUACGGGAGGCAGCAGUGAGGAAUAUUGGUCAAUGGACGAGAGUCUGAACCAGCCAAGUAGCGUGAAGGAUGACUGCCCUAUGGGUUGUAAACUUCUUUUAUAAAGGAAUAAAACGAGGCACGUGUGCCUUUUUGCAUGUACUUUAUGAAUAAGGAUCGGCUAACUCCGUGCCAGCAGCCGCGGUAAUACGGAGGAUCCGAGCGUUAUCCGGAUUUAUUGGGUUUAAGGGGAGCGUAGAUGGGUUGUUAAGUCAGUUGUGAAAUUUUGAGGCUCAACCGUAAAAUUGCAAUUGAUACUGGCAGUCUUGAGUACAGUUGAGGUAGGCGGAAUUCGUGGUGUAGCGGUGAAAUGCUUAGAUAUCACGAAGAACCCCGAUUGCGAAGGCAGCUUACUAAACUGUGACUGACAUUGAUGCUCGAAAGUGUGGGUAUCAAACAGGAUUAGAUACCCCAGUAGUC